GAUGAACGCUGGCGGCGUGCCUAAUACAUGCAAGUCGAGCGAACAGAUGAGGAGCUUGCUCCUCUGACGUUAGCGGCGGACGGGUGAGUAACACGUGGAUAACCUACCUAUAAGACUGGGAUAACUACGGGAAGCCGCAGCUAAUACCGGAGAAUAUAUUGAACCGCAUGGUUCAAUAGUGCAUGACGGUUUUGCUGUCACUUAUAGAUGGAUCCGCGCCGGAUUAGCUAGUUGGUAAGGUAACGGCCUACCAAGGCAACGAUGCGUAGCCGACCUGAGAGGGUGAUCGGCCACACUGGAACUGAGACACGGUCCAGACUCCUACGGGAGGCAGCAGUGGGGAAUCUUCGGCAAUGGGCGAAAGCCUGACGGAGCAACGCCGCGUGAGUGAUGAAGGUCUUCGGAUCGUAAAACCCUGUUAUUAGGGAAGAACAACUGUGUAAGUAACUAUGCACGUCUUGACGGUACCUAAUCAGAAAGCCCCGGCUAACUACGUG
This 497-nucleotide ribosomal RNA is filed under the name uncultured bacterium. RNAcentral describes it as "partial 16S ribosomal RNA". It matches the Rfam family "Bacterial small subunit ribosomal RNA", at positions 28 to 507 of the family's 1533-position model. The record is from RNAcentral.